UCAUAUGAGAAUGUUGCAAAUAUAUAUAUAUAUGUGUGUGUGUGUGUGUGUGUGUGUGUGUGUGUGUAUACACAUAUACACACACACAUAUAUAUAUUUAAGAUAUAUAUAUA
This 113-nucleotide microRNA precursor is filed under the name Mustela putorius furo (domestic ferret). Its description in RNAcentral is "miRNA (ENSMPUG00000021907.1)". Lineage: Eukaryota; Metazoa; Chordata; Mammalia; Carnivora; Mustelidae. The record is from RNAcentral.